This is a long non-coding RNA of Myxocyprinus asiaticus (Chinese sucker), 1349 nucleotides long. RefSeq lists it as uncharacterized. The record is from RefSeq and is a predicted model, not a curated record. Lineage: Eukaryota; Metazoa; Chordata; Actinopteri; Cypriniformes; Catostomidae. The transcript has 2 exons.
UUGGGUUUAAUCCUCAAUAACAAUGGGAACGGUGGGUGGCACAAACUCUAUUUUUGCGUCCACGAUAAAAAAUAACAUACAUGCACUUCGACUAUUCCGAAAUUUUCUAAAAACAAAAGCCAAUAACUGGGCUCACACUAACAAUAAUUCUCUCAAUGAGACCACGUGCUAGGCAGCCCGUUCGUUUACGUCAUUUUGUUUACAUUUAACACAAGAGACGUAGCCAGCACUCUGAAUCAGAAGCUAAUUUUUCUAACUGCUAUACAGAUAACUGCUCAUAACUGCAAUAAUGUUCACAAUUGGAAUGACAGUUAAGUGGUAAAAAAAAUGCAUGUUAAUUCAGUUUGCACCCGGAGCAAAACUAUUGCAUACGCAUAUGGGCCAAGAAACAAAAAAGUUUGGCGCUUGGAGGAAAUUUCAAGAAUUCAACUGGAAACAGUCAAGCUUUGUGAAACCCCAAAUAAGAGUCGUAGCGUCAUGUCUAGUUCUCAGUACUGCGCAACCUGUUGAUUACCCGCCUUUUCCAUCGUGAGGACACACCUCACCUUAUUACAUUCACUUAGCAAAUACAACUCGCAUAAUAUUCACAAAGACUGAGCAACUUAAAAUACUUCCAAUUCAUCAUUUUGCAUGCUAUGGACACAACAUCAAAGCGAAAAGCAUUCUCCCAUACAUUUGCAAUUUAAUUUACAGCAAACUAGUGUGCAAAUAACGUUAUAACUGCACGUCGCAUGCCACUAAACGACGCAUCUGCGACUUGUAAACACAACAAACGUGCCUCGAUAACAUUGUCUUCGCAUCCCAACGUCUCUGGCUAUCUACACCCGUCUCGGAUGACUCCUAUGGGGGUGACUUCGCAAGGAUCUCCCUCCCUGACUCUGGAGCAACCCCUCCCACCAACACCAUGCUCUGCAACCUACACCUGAGAGCUCUGCAAGCUUUACUAGCAGAAAGCCAGGUGGCCCGGUACUGUAACCCAACCUGCCAGAGCUCAAUCAAACACUGUUACCAAAAAAGGAAGACCAACUCAAAGGUCCCCCCACCUCCCUCCACACAUACAGAAGAACGUUCUACUUCCUCUUGCUGUUGUCAUGGUGACAGUUGUGCUGGAAAUCCUCUUCAGUGAUAUGACUGACUGAUCAUGAGAUAAACCACUAAUACCUUCCUUUUAAAAAAAAAAACAAAAUAGUAGAUAUGAGGUCAUUGCGCUAAUGAGAAAUGUGCAAUUCUAGACACACAUUUCACAGAAAAAUGGUAAGGAAAUUUUAUUUUAACAGCAAAAUCAGUUUUUAGGAAGGUUGUAACUUAAAGCAAUUCUAAAAUAAACCAGUAAAAAAAAAAAAAAAAAA